RNAcentral lists this unclassified non-coding RNA (3797 nucleotides) under Hevea brasiliensis (rubber tree). The record is from RNAcentral. Lineage: Eukaryota; Viridiplantae; Streptophyta; Magnoliopsida; Malpighiales; Euphorbiaceae.
ACCCCAUGGCUCUAUCGACGCGGCAGCGCCGUCCUCUACUGUCCGAUGUCACCUCAUCGUCGUCGGAACCGUACACGAAGGUUAAUAAACCUCGGAGAUCGAAUGUCGGGGAUGAGGAGGAUAAGGGAUUAGGAUGGUUCCUGCCUUUGCUUUCUUUGGGAAUUUUAAGAUACAUGAGUGCCACUUCAAAUAUCAUACAUGACUGCGAUGAAGUCUUCAACUAUUGGGAGCCUCUCCAUUAUCUUCUCUACAAGUCUGGCUUCCAAACCUGGGAAUACAGGUAUUGUUAUGUAUUCGAUAGCAAUUAGCAAUUGGGUUCUCCUUUGUUUCUCUCUUUUUGCACUUGGGGUAGUUCAGAGCUGGUCUUGUGUUUGAUGAUUCUGUUGACGCUCUGCUUGGAGGAGUUUAAGGAAGUUUUUUAAAGGUAUAAGGUAACUGAAUGUAAGGUGUCUGAUUCCAGUACAUCAAUCUGCAAGUUUUAAAAUCUUUAAAAUUUUUAAACAAAUCACUCAUUAAUCCAUCAACUUUAAAACCCUUAUCUUCCCUCCAAAAACUUCCUCCCAAACAGACUUGAAGGACUUGUUGGGUUUUGGUUCUUCUACUGUUUGAUGCUGCUUAGACCUUGAAUUUGCUUGAUGCUUGAAAGAUUUGAUGCGUUGAAUUUUAUUUUUGUCUAUCUGCAGCUCUCAGUUUGCACUUCGGUCUUAUUUGUAUAUUAAUUUCCAUGAACUAGUGGGUCUACCUGCUUCCUGGUUGUAUGGAGAGGAAAAAGUGAGAGUAUUCUAUGCAGUAAGACUGUUCCUUGGUCUUAUUUCUGUUGUUGCGGAUGCAACUUUGGUAGUUGUCCUUUCAAGGAAGUAUGGCAAACGUCUUGCUUCCUAUGCGCUUGCGAUGCUAUGCUUAACCAGUGGUUGUUUCUUUGCUAGUACAAGUUUUCUGCCAAGUUCAUUCUCAAUGUAUGCCAUGAGUCUCUCUUCAGGGUUAUUUCUUCUUGGGAAGCCUGCUAUGGCUGUUGUUGUUGCAGCUGUUGGGGUAAUCCUUAGUUGGCCUUUCUCGCUCUUGGCUUUCUUGCCAAUCACAUUCUACUCUUUGGCUAGAAGAUUCAAGCAAACAUUUUUAGCCGGUGCAUUCACUUCUAUUGUUCUUCUGGUAAGUCUGUCAUUGUUUUGAUUGCUACAUAUCACUUUGUGGCUCAGUAAGUGGUAUGCUUUUGUUUAGCAAUUGGCAUUUGAAGAGUUAUAAUGGUCUCUUAUUAAGUCACUGGGACAAGUUAAAAUUAGUCCUUAAAAUUUGUGGUCGUAUCUAAUAGCAGCCCUUAAAGUUUAAAUGCAUAUUUUAAGCAUGUGCAAGUUUGGAUUAAAUUCUUACUGCUGUAAUCUACAGUUAAAAUUUUUCUGAGUUAAAGGUAAUUUUAUUUUGUUCUGUAAUUUUCAUUAGGAUAAUCUCACACUGGAGAAUACAUCAUUAUUUUUUUUCAUUUUUGUUGAGAAACUAUUUAAAAUUGUUUUUGAAAGGUUAAAAAAUAAAGUAAUUUCAGCCAUUCAAUAGGUUUCCGUAUUAUUUUCAUUAAGACCCAAUUGAAAUUUAUAACUUUUUGUUUCUAUAAGUAUGUGUUUUGCAUAUUUUGUGUCUAAUUGAACAGGAGCCCAAUUGUCGGGACUAAAUGGACUUUUCCCCAAUUCAUUUAUGUUCAUGUUUUUGUUACAAUUUAAAGAUCUGAAUUCCUUCAGGUACUCUCAGUCCUUGUUGACUAUCACUACUACGGAAGGUGGACAUCAUCCGUUUUGAAUCUUUUAGUAUAUAAUGUCUUGGGAGGUGGUGAGAGCCACUUGUAUGGGAUUGAAGGGCCAUUAUUUUAUCUGAGGAAUGGAUUCAACAAUUUUAACUUCUGUUUCAUUCUCGCUUUGCUCUUCAUUGGGUUUUUGCCAAUUGCUAGGAGAAAGUAUGGCCUGGACAUGCUAAUUGUUGUCUCACCUCUUUAUAUAUGGCUAGGAUUUAUGUCCUUGCAGCCCCACAAAGAAGAAAGGUUCCUUUAUCCAAUAUAUCCUCUUGUUUGUGUUGCAGCAUCUUCUGUCAUUGAGAGCUUUCCUGAUCUUUUCCGAGACAGAUACAAUCCUUGUGACAAUUCUCUGAUAGUAAUGGUAGGCUUCUUUUCCAUUACCUAUAUAUUCCACCAGCUAUUCUAUAAUCAUUAAACUUGUACUUUUGUAUGCAGAUAGCAAAAUUUCUUAGACCUGUGGUUUUAGGCCUCAUAUUAUGUGCAUCCCAUGCUCGUACAUUCUCGCUUAUUAAUGGUUAUGGUGCUCCUAUUGAGGUUUACAAAAUUUUGGAGCACCAUGAUGAUACUGGAACAGGUAUGAAUCAAGUUCUUGCAUGAGUUUCUUGCUUAUAUCUUCAAAUUGUAGACCAUUAGAUUUUCUUACGGAACUAGCUGUCGCAACAAUUGGUGCAGCUAGAUUCGUUUACUGAUUUAUUGUAGUUCAACAUUUAAAGUGUAGAAGAUUUCUUUUAUUUGUUUUUCUAGUCUCAGAUUGUGGAUAACUGUACAGUUGUAUUUGCAUAGCAUCAGUAACCAAUGAUCCCCUGCUGUAUUAAUAGUAGAUAGUGUCAUUUGAUGGCAUCCAUACUGUAUUGGAUAAUGGUUAUAAUCAUCAAGUGCUAUUCUUUCAUUUCCAGUUGCAUCCCCCUCCACACCCCCCUCUGUUCUCCCGUACACAACCUAAAAUUUUUGUAGGUCAGUUUAUUAUCAAUUGCUUAUUCAUUUUUUAUGUUCUUAAUUUAUGCAAGGUGGUAACUUACCUGGUUUAUGUUCUUUCAAAGAAACACAUCCUAAAUUGGUUCCUACAUGUUGCAGGUUCUGUGCUUUGUGUUGGAAGUGAAUGGCAUCGCUUUCCUUCAUCAUUUUUUGUUCCUGGUUAUAUCAGUGAAAUCCGGUGGAUUGAUGAUGGGUUUCGAGGUCUUCUUCCUUUCCCAUUUAAUUCUACUUUGGGUGGGACUGCAGCAGCUCCUCCAUAUUUUAACAAUAAGAACAAGGCAGCAGAUGAGCAAUAUGUAAUUAAACUGUCCGCUAGUUAUGGUAUUUUAGGAUUAUCUCAUAUUUUUCUGUCACGGAGUGAAUAAUACACCUUAAUUCAACAUACAGCUCCGUGAUCUUGAAACCUGUACUUUCUUGGUUGAGCUGCAGCUUGAUAGACCUUACCCUUCACAUGGAAGUGACUUGUCAACUUGGGAGGUAUACAUUUAUAUCCAUCGCCGCUCUCUCUGUAUUUUUAUUUCCUUUUGUGACUUUGCUAAGACAAUAUGUGCUUCAGCCUAUUGCAGCAUAUCCUUAUCUAGACAGAGAGCUCUCACCUCCCAUGUACAGAUCAUUUUUCAUCCCAUAUCUGUGGCAAGAGAAGAAUGUUUUUGGCUUGUACAAGCUGUUCAAAAGAAUACCAAAAUGACAUGCAUGCGGUUUGCUGAACAACUGCAUUUCUUGUAGUUCAAAAUUUUGAUGCCUAAAAGCUAUUAAUAGCUGAAAUUUGAUCUCAAAACCUGAAGGAGGAAAUCCCAACAGAAAUCGUAGUUGUUGAAUGCUUUUUUUUUUUUUUUUGGUCAAAUAUUGAAUGCUUGUUUAAUUAGCUUAGGAUGACCAACAUGUCUAUGAAAGAGUCGUAGAAGAAGGUUGAUGGAAAAUGAUGAUUGGUGUUUUGGCUUGUAAUGGGUCGCUAUAAAUAUGGUGUGAAAGGUUCUGGAUAUCUUUGGCCUCUUUCUCUGCCACUAUUGGUGUAUGGUAAUGGUUUUCUUUUCUGGUGUAG